This is an RNA transcript of Carlito syrichta (Philippine tarsier), 1764 nucleotides long. It is a transcript of the gene named forkhead box protein K2 pseudogene, with no coding region annotated. The transcript has a single exon. Lineage: Eukaryota; Metazoa; Chordata; Mammalia; Primates; Tarsiidae. The record is from RefSeq and is a predicted model, not a curated record.
UGCACGUUUAGGUUCCCGAGCACAAACAUCAAGAUAACGUUCACUGCCCUGUCCAGUGAGAAGAGGGAAAAACAAGAGGCGCCUGAGUCCCCGGGGAAGGCCGUGCAGCCACACAUCUCACCCCUGACCAUCAACAUUCCAGACACCAUGGCCCACCUCAUCAGCCCCCUCCCAACCCCCACAGGAACCAUCAGCGCUGCAAACUCCUGCCCAUCCAGCCCCCGGGGAGCAGGGUCUUCGGGGUACAAGAUGGGCCGAGUGAUACCCUCUGACCUCAGUUUAAUGGCUGACAGCUCACAGCCAGAAAAUGAAAAGGAAGCUUCAGGUGGAGACAGCCCAAAGGAUGAUUCAAAGCCACCUUAUUCCUAUGCACAAUUAAUAGUACAAGCAAUUACAAUGGCUCCCGACAAACGGCUCGCCCUAAAUGGAAUCUAUACGCACAUCCCUAAAAAUCAUCCAUACUACAGGACUGCAGACAAGGGCUGGCAGAAUUCAAUUCGCCACAAUCUCUCUCUGAAUCGUUAUUUCAUCAAAGUACCGCGUUCCCAGGAAGAACCAGGCAAAGGUUCAUUCUGGAGGAUAGAGCCUGCCUCUGAAAGCAAAGUAAUAGAGCAGGCUUUUAGGAAAAGACGGCCUAGGGGCGUGCCUUGCUUUAGAACCCCUCUGGGACCGCUGUCUUCUAGGAGUGCCCCAGCUUCUCCCAAUCAUGCCCGAGUGCUAUCUGCUCACUCCAGUGGUGCCCAGAGCCCCGAGAGUCUCUCAAGGGAAGGUUCGCCGGCCCCUCUGGAGCCUGAGCCCGGCGCCUUACAGCCCAAACUUGCCGUCAUCCAGGGAGCCCAGUUUGCCCAGAGCGCACCAGGGUCACCUCUGUCCAGUCAACCAGUCUUAAUCACCGUCCAGCGGCAGCUACCACAGGCCAUCAAGCCUGUCACCUACACUGUGGCCACCCCGGUGACCACCUCCACCUCCCAGCCACCCGUUGUGCAGACGGUUCACGUCGUCCGUCAGAUACCAGCGGUGUCAGUCACCAGUGUGGCUGGACUAGCUCCAGCGAUCACGUAUACCGUCUCUGGACAAGCUGUGGUUGCUCCGGCAGCCAUGCUGGCCCCUCCUAAGGCAGAGCCACAGGAGAACGGAGAUCACAGGGAAGUCAAAGUGAAAGUAGAACCUAUUCCUGCCAUCAGCCAGGCCACUCUGGGUGCUGCCGGCCGGAUCAUCGAGACACCUCAGACCACCCCUGUCCAGACGGUCACCAUAGUACAACAGGCACCUCUAGGUCAACACCAGCUACCAAUAAAAACUGUAACGCAAAACGGGACUCACGUGGUGCCAGUCCCCACUGCAGUCCACGGCCAGGUGAACCAUGCGGCGAGUCCUUUACACAUGUUGGCAACCCAUGCGUCCGCAUCGGCCUCCCUGCCCACAAAGCGCCAGAAUGGUGACCAGCCGGAGCAGCCAGAGCUGAAGCGGAUCAAGACGGAAGACGGCGAGAGCAUCGUCAUUGCCCUGAGUAUAGACACGCCACUGGCAGCUGUGAGAGAAAAGGGUGUCCAAAACUAGCGACUGGGAGAGUUUUUCUUACUUUAAAAAUAUCAACUUUGUGGUGCCAAAAGGAGACAUCGCCUCCCACCGGUGCAGGGCCCUGCGGUUGGACUUCACCUCUCAGCACUGAAAACACAAAACCCAGGUGGCCUUAAAACUCCUUACUUACUUAAAGACACAAGUCACACUUGAACAAAACCACACACAACAAAACCUGAUUCC